UGGUGGAGUGAUUUGUCUGGUUAAUUCCGUUAACGAACGAGACCCCUGCCUGCCAAAUAGUCAAAUGAGUGAUUUUUCACUGAUUGUGGCUUCUUAGAGGGACGCGCAUUUUAUUAGAUGCAGGAGGAUAGGGGCAAUAACA
Molecule: ribosomal RNA, 142 nt
Filed under: uncultured eukaryote
Lineage: Eukaryota
Description: partial 18S ribosomal RNA
Rfam family: Eukaryotic small subunit ribosomal RNA
Source: RNAcentral